AACGGAGGGGUUAUAUAUAUGUGUGUUUUUUCUCGCAGGACGAACGCUGGCGGCGUGCCUAAUACAUGCAAGUCGAGCGGACAGAAGGGAGCUUGCUCCCGGAUGUUAGCGGCGGACGGGUGAGUAACACGUGGGUAACCUGCCUGUAAGACUGGGAUAACUCCGGGAAACCGGAGCUAAUACCGGAUAGUUCCUUGAACCGCAUGGUUCAAGGAUGAAAGACGGUUUCGGCUGUCACUUACAGAUGGACCCGCGGCGCAUUAGCUAGUUGGUGGGGUAAUGGCUCACCAAGGCGACGAUGCGUAGCCGACCUGAGAGGGUGAUCGGCCACACUGGGACUGAGACACGGCCCAGACUCCUACGGGAGGCAGCAGUAGGGAAUCUUCCGCAAUGGACGAAAGUCUGACGGAGCAACGCCGCGUGAGUGAUGAAGGUUUUCGGAUCGUAAAGCUCUGUUGUUAGGGAAGAACAAGUGCGAGAGUAACUGCUCGCACCUUGACGGUACCUAACCAGAAAGCCACGGCUAACUACGUGCCAGCAGCCGCGGUAAUACGUAGGUGGSRASCGUUGUCCGGMAUUAUUCGGGCGUAAAGGGCUCGCAGGCGGUUUCUUAAGUCUGAUGUGAAAGCCCCCGGCUCAACCGGGGAGGGUCAUUGGAAACUGGGAAACUUGAGUGCAGAAGAGGAGAGUGGAAUUCCACGUGUAGCGGUGAAAUGCGUAGAGAUGUGGAGGAACACCAGUGGCGAAGGCGACUCUCUGGUCUGUAACUGACGCUGAGGAAGCGAAAAGACGKKGGGAGCGAACAGGAUUAGAUACCCUGGUAGUCCACGCCGUAAACGAUGAGUGCUAAGUGUUAGGGGGUUUCCGCCCCUUAGUGCUGCAGCUAACGCAUUAAGCACUCCGCCUGGGGAGUACGGUCGCAAGACUGAAACUCAAAGGAAUUGACGGGGGCCCGCACAAGCGGUGGAGCAUGUGGUUUAAUUCGAAGCAACGCGAAGAACCUUACCAGGUCUUGACAUCCUCUGACAACCCUAGAGAUAGGGCUUUCCCUUCGGGGACAGAGUGACAGGUGGUGCAUGGUUGUCGUCAGCUCGUGUCGUGAGAUGUUGGGUUAAGUCCCGCAACGAGCGCAACCCUUGAUCUUAGUUGCCAGCAUUUAGUUGGGCACUCUAAGGUGACUGCCGGUGACAAACCGGAGGAAGGUGGGGAUGACGUCAAAUCAUCAUGCCCCUUAUGACCUGGGCUACACACGUGCUACAAUGGACAGAACAAAGGGCUGCAAGACCGCAAGGUUUAGCCAAUCCCAUAAAUCUGUUCUCAGUUCGGAUCGCAGUCUGCAACUCGACUGCGUGAAGCUGGAAUCGCUAGUAAUCGCGGAUCAGCAUGCCCGGGUGGAAUACGUUCCCGGGCCUUGUACACACCGCCCGUCACACCACGAGAGUUUGCAACACCCGAAGUCGGUGAGGUAACCUUUAUGGAGCCAGCCGCCGAAGGUGGGGCAGAUGAUUGGGGUGAACUAGAAGGGGGGGCGCGCAGAGAGAAAAGGCGCCAUUAUA
Molecule: ribosomal RNA, 1556 nt
Filed under: Bacillus pumilus
Lineage: Bacteria; Bacillati; Bacillota; Bacilli; Caryophanales; Bacillaceae
Description: bacterial SSU rRNA
Rfam family: Bacterial small subunit ribosomal RNA
Source: RNAcentral